Molecule: ribosomal RNA, 869 nt
Filed under: Salmonella enterica subsp. diarizonae
Lineage: Bacteria; Pseudomonadati; Pseudomonadota; Gammaproteobacteria; Enterobacterales; Enterobacteriaceae
Description: partial 23S ribosomal RNA
Rfam family: Bacterial large subunit ribosomal RNA
Source: RNAcentral
CGUGCUAAUCUGCGAAAAGCGCCGGUAAGGUGAUAUGAACCGUUAUAACCGGCGAUGUCCGAAUGGGGAAACCCAGUGUGACUCGUCACACUAUCAUUAACUGAAUCCAUAGGUUAAUGAGGCGAACCGGGGGAACUGAAACAUCUAAGUACCCCGAGGAAAAGAAAUCAACCGAGAUUCCCCCAGUAGCGGCGAGCGAACGGGGAGGAGCCCAGAGCCUGAAUCAGCAUGUGUGUUAGUGGAAGCGUCUGGAAAGGCGCGCGAUACAGGGUGACAGCCCCGUACACAAAAGCGCAUAUGCUGUGAGCUCGAUGAGUAGGGCGGGACACGUGGUAUCCUGUCUGAAUAUGGGGGGACCAUCCUCCAAGGCUAAAUACUCCUGACUGACCGAUAGUGAACCAGUACCGUGAGGGAAAGGCGAAAAGAACCCCGGCGAGGGGAGUGAAACAGAACCUGAAACCGUGUACGUACAAGCAGUGGGAGCCCCACCACUAAGCCAGUGGUGAACUCCACAUACGCAUCCUUUGCGGAAGAUGCGGUUAACGGAGCGAAAGCGACGUUCAACCUCAGAAGAAGCAGAGGGGGCUUAGUGGUGGGGUGACUGCGUACCUUUUGUAUAAUGGGUCAGCGACUUAUAUUCUGUAGCAAGGUUAACCGCAUAGGGGAGCCGAAGGGAAACCGAGUCUUAAUUGGGCGUUAAGUUGCAGGGUAUAGACCCGAAACCCGGUGAUCUAGCCAUGGGCAGGUUGAAGGUUGGGUAACACUAACUGGAGGACCGAACCGACUAAUGUUGAAAAAUUAGCGGAUGACCUGUGGCUGGGGGUGAAAGGCCAAUCAAACCGGGAGAUAGCUGGUUCUCCCCGAAAGCU